RNAcentral lists this unclassified non-coding RNA (234 nucleotides) under Dothideomycetes sp. RNAcentral describes it as "partial contains 5.8S ribosomal RNA, internal transcribed spacer 2, and large subunit ribosomal RNA". Lineage: Eukaryota; Fungi; Ascomycota; Dothideomycetes. The record is from RNAcentral.
CGCACAUUGCGCCCUUUGGUAUUCCGAGGGGCACGCCUGUUCGAGCGUCAUUUAAACCAUCAAGCCCAGCUUGGUCUUGGACGCGGUCGAGUGACCCGUCCGUAACCCGUUGGCGGUGCAGUCCGGCUUCAAGCGUAGCAAGAAUCUCGCUUCGUGAGUCCGCGGCGGCGCCCGCCAGGAAAUGGCCUUCUAAAGUUUGACCUCGGAUCAGGUGGGGAUACCCGCUGAACUUAA